This 999-nucleotide ribosomal RNA is filed under the name Gammarus cf. balcanicus 2TM105. RNAcentral describes it as "partial 18S ribosomal RNA". It matches the Rfam family "Eukaryotic small subunit ribosomal RNA", at positions 187 to 970 of the family's 1831-position model. Lineage: Eukaryota; Metazoa; Arthropoda; Malacostraca; Amphipoda; Gammaridae. The record is from RNAcentral.
CACUGCUCUGACGGAUGCUUUUAUUAGACCAAGCCGCUGAGGACUUGAGGGUUUUGCUCUCCUGUCUGACUCGUGUAAUGGUGACUCUGGAUAACCAAUUCUGACAAGCGCACGUACUUCUCUUCUGAGCGAGACGGCGCUGCCACUUUCGAGUGUCUGCCUUAUCAGCUAUCAACCGUUCGUUAUGCGCGACCGAUGGCUUUGACGGGUAACGGGGAAUCAGGGUUCGAUUCCGGAGAGGCAGCCUGAGAGACGGCUACCACGUCCAAGGACGGCAGCAGGCACGCAAAUUACCCAAUCCCAGUAAAUGGGGGAGGUAGUGACGAAAUCUAACGAUGCGGGCGCCCUUUCUGGGGCCCCGCAAUCGGAAUGGGCACUUUCUAAACAACCUGUUGAGAACCUACUGAAGGGCAAGUCUGGUGCCAGCAGCCGCGGUAAUUCCAGCUUCAGCAGCAUCUAUUAAAGUUGCUGCGGUUAAAAGGCUCGCAGUUGAAUGUCUGUAUCGAGCGCAGGUCAGGUGGACGUUGGGGCGUGGAAGUACGGGCAGUUGGAUGUCCGUGGGGCCUUCGUGCUCAACGGCUCCUUCGGCUUUUCCACACACCCCCGUCCGUGACAAGCCUCCUCGCUCGGGUACAUAACGGGAAUCGGUCAAACGGAGUGUGGUUGGAGGUUGGGGUGCGUGGCUUCUGUUGCGUGCUUCUUCUUUCGGCUGCGUUAAGCUCCAUCGGUUUCACGGUCACCUUGAGUAAAUCAGAGUGCUCAAAGCAGUCGUAGGGGCCUUGCGCCCUGUGAACAGUCUUGACGGACUGACUUGGUUUUGCAUGGCAUGUCGGAAGACGACGUCGUGUGCUGGCUCAGAGGAUAAAUCAGUGGUACAAGCCAGCCUCGACGUAAUGAUUAAAAGGGACGGUCGAGGGCAUUGGUAUUGCGAGGCGAGAGGUGAAAUUCUGUGACCCCCGCAAGACCUCCUGAAGCGAAAGCGUCUGCCAAGGACGUUUU